This 106-nucleotide transfer RNA is filed under the name archaeon 13_1_40CM_4_53_4. RNAcentral's name for it is "tRNA-Leu". It matches the Rfam family "tRNA". Rfam says of the family: Transfer RNA (tRNA) molecules are approximately 80 nucleotides in length. Their secondary structure includes four short double-helical elements and three loops (D, anti-codon, and T loops). Further hydrogen bonds mediate the characteristic L-shaped molecular structure. tRNAs have two regions of fundamental functional importance: the anti-codon, which is responsible for specific mRNA codon recognition, and the 3' end, to which the tRNAs corresponding amino acid is attached (by aminoacyl-tRNA synthetases). tRNAs cope with the degeneracy of the genetic code in two manners: having more than one tRNA (with a specific anti-codon) for a particular amino acid; and 'wobble' base-pairing, i.e. permitting non-standard base-pairing at the 3rd anti-codon position. The record is from RNAcentral. RNAcentral also lists the same sequence under 1 other name.
GCCCCGGUGGCUCAGCCUGGUAGUUGCCCUUGCAGCCUAAAGCAUUGCCUUGGUAGACCCGUCAAACAGGCAAGGGUCACGAGUUCAAAUCUCGUCCGGGGCUCCA